AUUGGACGCUGGCGGCAUGCCUUACACAUGCAAGUCGAACGGUAACAGGUCUUCGGAUGCUGACGAGUGGCGUACGGGUGAGUAAUACAUCGGAACGUGCCCGAUCGUGGGGGAUAACGAGGCGAAAGCUUUGCUAAUACCGCAUACGAUCUACGGAUGAAAGCGGGGGAUCUUCGGACCUCGCGCGGACGGAGCGGCCGAUGGCAGAUUAGGUAGUUGGUGGGAUAAAAGCUUACCAAGCCGACGAUCUGUAGCUGGUCUGAGAGGAUGAUCAGCCACACUGGGACUGAGACACGGCCCAGACUCCUACGGGAGGCAGCAGUGGGGAAUUUUGGACAAUGGGCGAAAGCCUGAUCCAGCCAUGCCGCGUGCAGGAUGAAGGCCUUCGGGUUGUAAACUGCUUUUGUACGGAACGAAAAGCCUCUUUCUAAUAAAGAGGGGUCAUGACGGUACCGUAAGAAUAAGCACCGGCUAACUACGUG
This 482-nucleotide ribosomal RNA is filed under the name uncultured bacterium. RNAcentral's name for it is "partial 16S ribosomal RNA". It matches the Rfam family "Bacterial small subunit ribosomal RNA", at positions 30 to 507 of the family's 1533-position model. The record is from RNAcentral.